This 439-nucleotide ribosomal RNA is filed under the name uncultured bacterium. Its description in RNAcentral is "partial 16S ribosomal RNA". It matches the Rfam family "Bacterial small subunit ribosomal RNA", at positions 339 to 795 of the family's 1533-position model. The record is from RNAcentral.
CUACGGGACGCUCCAGUGGGGAAUAUUGCACAAUGGAGGAAACUCUGAUGCAGCAACGCCGCGUGGAGGAUGACACUUUUCGGAGCGUAAACUCCUUUUAUAUAGGAAGAAGAUGACGGUACUAUAUGAAUAAGCGCCGGCUAACUCCGUGCCAGCAGCCGCGGUAAUACGGAGGGCGCAGGCGUUACUCGGAAUCACUGGGCGUAAAGAGCGUGUAGGCGGAUUAAAAAGUCAGAAGUGAAAUCCUAUAGCUUAACUAUAGAACUGCUUCUGAAACUCUUAACCUAGAAUAUGGGAGAGGUAGAUGGAAUUUCUGGUGUAGGGGUAAAAUCCGUAGAGAUCAGAAGGAAUACCGAUUGCGAAGGCGAUCUACUAGAACAUUAUUGACGCUGAGACGCGAAAGCGUGGGGAGCAAACAGGAUUAGAUACCCCCGUAGUC